Molecule: transfer RNA, 68 nt
Filed under: Glandirana rugosa (Japanese wrinkled frog)
Lineage: Eukaryota; Metazoa; Chordata; Amphibia; Anura; Ranidae
Description: tRNA-Gly
Rfam family: tRNA
About the family: Transfer RNA (tRNA) molecules are approximately 80 nucleotides in length.
Source: RNAcentral
GUUUCCUUAGUAAAUAAGUAUAAGUGACUUCCAAUCACUUGAUCUUGGUGAAACUCCGAGAGAAAAUA